AGCAGCCGCGGUAAUUCCAGCUCCAAUAGCGUAUAUUAAAGUUGUUGCAGUUAAAAAGCUCGUAGUUGAAUUUCGGGAUCAGUACGUCGGUCGUGCCUCCGGUAUGUACUGGCGUCACUGAUUUCUCCCUUCUGAUGAACCAUGAUGUCAUUAAUUUGGUGUUGUGAGGAGUCAGGACUGUUACUUUGAAAAAAUUAGAGUGUUUAAAGCAGGCAA
Molecule: ribosomal RNA, 216 nt
Filed under: uncultured Glomus
Lineage: Eukaryota; Fungi; Glomeromycota; Glomeromycetes; Glomerales; Glomeraceae
Description: partial small subunit ribosomal RNA
Rfam family: Eukaryotic small subunit ribosomal RNA
Source: RNAcentral